GUGAAGCCAAGCGUCUGCAGGCUGGACGGGUCCUCCCCUCAGCCACUGUUCACGGGCGUUUCCUGCCUGCGGGAACUUCCUCCUCUUCCUAUUAGUCUGGACUAACUGGUGAGGGCCGCGGGGAGGCUGCAGGCAGCUGGCUCCGCCGAGCCCGUCCUCAGGAUUUGUCCUGCGCAGUCGCCCUCACCCUUCAAGGCAAGUCCGGGAUGAGGAGACUGCACCCCUGUGUCCCGCAGGGAGGCUCAGAGCUAGAGGCCUGUGGCUGAGGCCAGGGUCCCACCUGGUCGUCCUGCCCUGUGGACGUUGCGGGCUCCCCUCUUACGGAACGUGGCAGUCGGUUCUGGUUCACAGGAGACUUCGCGAGUCGCUGGUUGCGUUCCUACGGUUCAGUGACACCGGUUCCACCCAUCUGUCCACCAGGCCGGCUCCCUGUGGGCCUCAGAGGACCCCGAAGGCAGCAGGCAGAUUGAGGAGCCCGAUUCCCAGGCCCUGAAAUUUCCCGGCUGGGCAGCCUUCUUUUCCUUUACCCCCUCACCCGGGCACGGUCCCCGCUCCCCCUCUCUGGGGAGGGGCUCUCAGAGCUCAGGACCCUGGCUCCCUCCCUCGGGCUUCUCUCAGCCCUCCUUGCACCAACCGUGUGGACUCAACGGCUGUCCUGCCCAGGCCCAGCCUCUGUGGCCCUUGCUUGGUCCUUUUGCCCACGGGGGCAGGACCCUCCCCCUGUGGUCUUCAGCCUCAUUUAGUCGCCUGCUGCAGGCCCGACCCCAGCCCCUGGGCGUCCUGGGGCCCCACCCAGUCCUGCUGCUUUCUCCAGGAAGCCUGUGGGCCAGGUCCCAGCUGUGACACCUCCUCUCCCAAGGCUGUGCCUUCUUCCCCUUCUCUCUGGCAGGUUCCAGGCAGGUCUAGGCACGGCAGGCUCCUGGGGGCCAGGCCCGGCUCGCACGCCUUCGGAGCGCCCUUUCUUUGGAUCAACCGAAGCUUUCUGGACGAGCUCACGAAGACCCCGCGGCCUCUGAGAUCAUGGAGCCACUCAGGAUCCCACAGAAGACGUGGCUCCUUAUGAUAUCACACUGAAGUGACCUGAAGUGUUCGUCAGCUGCCUUCGCGAUCCCGAGCUGGGACAGCGUGUACUGAGGUGAGGUGCCGGCUCCCAGGGAGCCGCCCACGUUUCCUGUCUAGGGAGAGCCUCAGUUUGCAGAUGACCCUGGGGCUCUCCUCGGUGCCCCUGGGCGACGGCUCUUUCUCCCUCCAUAUCUCAUGACCAUGCUCACUGGCUCCGCACGUAGCAAGCAGCAAAUCCUCUGUGUUUGCUUACAAGCGGAGACGGGAGGGUGGCUCGUGCGUGCGGUCACUUCCUGAAAUCCUAACCUGCUCCAAUGCCAAGGGCAAACAGCUUGGUUUGGAGUCUUUGUCACCCGAUUGUGGGCCGGAGGUCGGGGGUGGGAGAAAGGCACAGCGGUCCUCCCCGGCUUCCUCUUGCACCCCUGGCCUAUUGCACAGCCCCACAGUGAUCUGUUGGACCAAGGCGGACGUGGCUGUGAUAGACUGACAAGGUGGCUCAGGACUCCUGGCUCCUAUUGCACACACCUUACCCGCUAUUUGAACAAAACACAACCUGAACGCUGUCCUGAGGGCUUGCAGCUGACCUGAAGACAAGAUUUCAAGGGGCCCUCCUAGCGGUGGAGCCUUUGCGUCAAGGAAGUCAGAGAACGUGUCAAUCUGGGACAGCUGUCGGAGGUCACACAGACACAUCCGUCCAUCUCCACCCAGAGCAUGUCGGAGGCAAGCUGUUAGAGGUCUCUCAAACCUCUCUCCCCGUGCUCUGUCCUAAUCUGAGGAGGCACCAGCUAGGCCAACGCUGCCCUUCGGCUCUCCUCAGAAUUGGGCGGUUUCCACGGAUGAGUGAAGUCACAGGAACUUCAGACGCCCAGACACUUGGGGCAGCCAGGCCUGGAGGGGAGCAGGUCUGGGGAGGAGGUCUGACCACGGGCGUUUGGAUGGACAGUCGUGGUCUCCUCUUCCCUUUUGCCUCCUUUCUAUAAUCUUGAGUCCUCUCUUGUGACUCGGGAUGAAGCCAAGCUGGGCUCGCAGUCCUUGCUCGGAGGUGUGGGUCUCCAUGACAACGGGAAAUCACGCCACAAAGAGAAAAUUAGGGCUCCGUGGGAAUGGGGAGGUCAGGAAACCUCAAGGAGCUCGUUUUCAUUUAGAGCACCGUGGCGUGAAGGCGCAGCCUGUUCUUGGAGUCAAGAUCUACCCGAGGGACAAAGUGCAGAGAGCAGGGAACCAAGCAGCCGUCCUGGUCCUCUGCCUGCGAGCAGAUGGCUCUGCUUAAAGAAAGCAGCGUGGGGAGGCACUGGGCGUAGCUCUCGGAAUUUCUAAGACUCAGAGCAGAAGCCACGCCUACCGAGUUUGGAGGGAGCCCUUGCGUCGGUGAGAUCUUCUUGGCUUUCCCUCCAGUGGCAAGAUGGCUCCAGGCAUCACGUCCCCACGUGGCCCAGCAGCUUCUCUUCAGUCAGCCCUUCCUCACAGGUCCCGCCUCGAGCAGAGACAAGGCAGCUCCUGCUCUCAGGAAAGUGCAUUUGUACAGCUUCCCACUCGGGGCCUGUGGGCAGCUCCCGAGGAGAGCCCAGGCCCACGGCCGGCCCCAGUGCAGUCCUGGGGUGCUCAUCGCCAGUGGUGAAAGAGGAGGGACACAGCCGUGGCCCCUCCUGCCGUCCCCCUUGGGCGGCACUGGUCUGUCCACUCUGGGGCUAGGGAGCUGCUGGGGACCUGUCUCUCUGCUGACCCCACUGCCUGGUGGCAGGGUGUUCAAGGUGUCCUCUGGGAAGCCAGGUGCCUAGCCCGUCUCACCCUGCACCCUCUGGGCUGGGGCUGCAGCCUCCUGCUGGGGCUGGUGGCCGCUCUCCUGGGAUGUCCUGGAGGGACACUGCAGCAGCCAGGGCUCAGUCCCUGCCACGGUGCCUCUUUACUCGCAGUGCAGGCCGGGUCUGGGCGGGGGUGGCUGCUGGUCCUCGCCCCCCUGGGAACCGCUUUCCCAGUCCAGGCAGGAGUCGGAGCCCUGCAGGCCCUGCCGCUGUCCUCCUGGGCAGCCUGGGGACCAGGCCAGCUCCCUGGCGGAGGGUUGGUUCUCGUGGCCUGGGACCUGCAGGCAGCCAGCCCUCUCCUGGUGCGCCCGGCUCCGGAACGGCCCUCCUGUCCUCGGGGGCAAGGAGGCGAGAACAUUUGAAUCCUCACACACUAUUUUCCGAGAAGUGCAUACUGUCUGAAAAGGUCAGGAAGCAUGUCGUGCGCCGAGCUGUUCACCCGCACCCGCACGGCUCUCUCCGCAGCCCGGCCAGCAGGGCAUCGUGCUGAGCAGUCCAGGGACCGUCGGGAUUCUUCCCCCGGGGUCUCCUGGGCAGAGGCCGUGAGCGCACCCAGGUGGCCCCUGGGUUCUUCCCGAGUCUCUCCUUUGCUUUGCUUCCUGGCUCAGGUGGGGCCACCCGAGAGGACAAGGUAGGUCUGGGCCGUGUGGGCUUGGGGACGUCACCUGACCCCUCUGAGCCCCGGUGACUUCCCUGGAGAAGGAGGAACAGGGACUUGGGCUGGGAGCACUGUGCCAGAAGCCUGGUCCACGGGCCUUCGCAGCUGCAGGGCGGAGCUCAGGGGUUCCACAGGGCAGCCCACCAGUCCUCACCACUGGUCGGGUCCUUCUGGGUGCAGAGAAUGGCGUUUGGGGACACAGGGGAGCAGGGGGACACAAGGAGGCCCCUGGACAGGAGGCAGGAGGCUUCUUCUUCAGGUGACCUGCCAGGUCCUGUGCUGGUGGUGAGGAUGGAGACAGUACUGGGGGCCUAAGGCUCAGGACAUGCCCGAGGUCCAGGGAGGACAGGCAGGGUGGUGGGCAGGGGUGUGGCAGGGACUGUGGGCCUGCAGGCUUUGGCAAUGGCGGCCCCAGGCACUCGAGCUGGCCGGCCUCUGGGCUUCGGCCCUGCACUCAGUCGGUCCAGAGGAGCUGGCAGAGCCACUGUGACCUGCCCACAACCUGCAGCUGCCCUUCUGUCCACGGCCUCACCAACUGCUCAGCCACCGGCCCUGGGUGUGCACUUCAGGCCUCUGGGCGCCAUGGUGGCCGUGGACAGCCUUGCUGCUCAUUCCACCCGUCGCCCCUCUGUCCCCAGAGGACUGCAGGGGCUCUGCCUUGAGAGCCGCUUGCUUGGGAGGCCUGUGGAGCCUGCCUGGGAAGGACAGCACAGCGGCGAGUCCAGCGCCUCCGAGUCCCCGGCCCUCAGGCGCCAGCCAGGUGCAGUGCCAGGUGCAGGCGGGGCUGCUCACUCAUGCUGGUGGCUGCCCUGGUCACUGUCCACCCCAGGGCUUCUCCGCAGGAGCCCACGUGCCUGGCGUUCAGGACCGAUUGGAGAGGUGGAGACAGGCUGUCCCCUGUCCAUCCCCACCUGAGAGUUCCCUCCACCCGACCCUCCAGCCAGCGUCCCCUCCCUGUUCCACCCUCUGCACCCCCACUCCAGCUCCCUGGGGUCACCUCCUAACUCCACCUGUCCCCAGGUCCUCCUGGGCUCCGCCUGGGCGCUCAGCCUGGGACGACCAUGCGUGGCCAGCCCGGGGGCUGGUUCCAGGGGGAAGCAGGGCCCCCGAGGAGGUCAGAGGCUCGGGUCACCCCAGGAUGGCAGGUGACAGUGCUGGGGUGACUGUCACGGAGGGCAGACCCCCUAGAGGCAAGCGGAGAGAGGCGAGGUCAGGGCGUGGUGGGCACCGCCUGCGGAGGUCUGGGCAGGGGUCACGGCACAGCCCUGAGGCUGGAUGCCAUCGCUUCUCCCGGGCUGAGGGCCUGGGAGGCCACGGGCUGCCUGAGUGGACAGAGCCCAAGGCGCGCGUCCUCCAGGAUUCUACCACUGUUUCUGCGGCCGUGGGUCACAAACCGGGUUAGGGCGACACACGGGCGGAGUGUGCGGGUGUCGGGUCCUCCUUUCCGUGCCGCCAGUGUUCUCAGGACUCCAGGAUGUGCCUGCCCAGGACUGGUCGCGACAGGAAGAAUUCUGGUGAACCGACAGCGAUCCGCUGUGGAUGUGCAGCCAGCGCCCGUCAGCUCCUCUGCAGGACUUACAGCCUCCGUGGCAGAGCCCGGGAGCCGCGGAGCCCAGCACCUCCUGUGGCCGUGGAGCUUGCCUCCGCUCCAGGCUGCAGGGGGUGGGAGUCAGGGGUCCGCGCUGAGGCCUGGUGGGAAAGAAUGAGGCUCCCUCUCUGGCUGCAGGCUGGGACUAUUUUUAGCACCUGACUGACCAGCAGGAGGCUGGGGGAGGCCUUGGCGUGGGGCCUGUGGGAUUUGAUUUCAGUGAUGCUGGAAGAGGACGCGCCCAGUGCUGCUGACCUCCUUCCUUCUCGGCUUUGAUGGACUUCUCCAUGGGAAGUGCUUUCUUGAUCCAAUUUCGUCAUUGGAAAGAUGAAAAGGAAAGUAGAACCAGAGAGGUUGUGUGCCUUGCCUGAGGCUACACAGCCAACAGCACAGCAGGAACAAGAGCUCAGGCUUGGCUCUGCCAGGCGACUCUCUGUGCAGAAAUGAGGGAGGAAACUCAAACCCAAGGUGGCUGAGCAAGAGCCACCUUUCUUCUUAGCUGAAAAUAUGAAGCGCAACAUUUGCAAGGGUAGAGGCCAGUUCAAUGACCCUUGGUCUUCUGUGGGGGCUCCUGGAGGGACCUCGUGUUGGACGUGGCACACGGAACACAUGGGGUUACUUCUCACACACACCAACCCCAGGGAAAGGAAGAAGCAAACAAGAACCGAGAGCCAGGAAAAGAGGUGGCGGGCAAGAGGCGUCCACGGAAACCUCCACGGGCACGUGCUGGCUGGCGGGCAAGUCAGCGGCUCCGGGAUCCAGCCUCCCUCUGUCCUAGCUGGCAGGACCCCAGCUGGCGUGGAGCCGUGUUCCCGAAUCACUUGUUUCCCAGCCCCUGUCCCUAAAGGUGUUCAUGCGGUGACAUCCUGCUGGAGAGCCUGGGAAAGUCCUGCCCCUGACUGGGAUGGCUCCUUGCUUCCCUGUCGUUUCUUCUCUUCCUCUGUCCACCUGGGAUGUGGAUGUGAGGCUGGAGGUGGAGCAGCUGUCUUGUGACAUGAGGUUACCAUGAAGAAGAAAGCCCGUGGUUAAGCAGAGUGACAGAAGCAGCAGGGGUGGCGAGGGCAUUGGGGGUGGCGAGGGCUUCGGCACCAUCCAGCCUGGGCUGCUCGCUCCAAGUAGCAGAAGGGAAGCGCUGUUGGUGGCUUGCUUGAAUGGAUCUGGUCCCUGCAGCCAGCAGCAGUCCACAGGUGAUGUCCUCAUGCUGCUGUCCAGUGACCGUUGAAGCAAACAGGAUCCUAAACGGUCGAGAACUUCUGCAGCUACACAACAGCUGAGGAGCCGAAGGCACCAGGAGGGGCAGGCCUGGCCCGGGAAAGUGGCCGAAAGGUGGAAAGAAACACAAACCCUGGCCCCCUUCUGUCCCUAGGUGCAAGCAGCUGCCCCACCCACUGAGGGGAACUCAGGGCUACAGAGAAAUGGGCCAGGUGGGCGCUGGACUUGGAGAAACGCACAGAGGGGGACGAAGAGGAAGCCAGCACAACCAGACAGCAGAACAGCACCGGCACUCCC
Sciurus carolinensis (gray squirrel) is the source of this 6619-nucleotide long non-coding RNA. RefSeq lists it as uncharacterized. NCBI's taxonomy places the organism in Eukaryota, Metazoa, Chordata, Mammalia, Rodentia, Sciuridae. The record is from RefSeq and is a predicted model, not a curated record. The transcript is spliced from 5 exons.